CACCAUGAUAAAGAUGGCAAUAAACUGAGUUGCUUUAUUUAGUUCAUAGCAAUGUGAAUAACAACCCAGUGUGCCUUGCAGUCACACAGAAUUGUUAUGAUUCUGAGCUCAACUGCCUAUAAGGUUAUUGCCAUUUUCAUUUCCAUUUUUAAAACAAUAAAACUGAAAAAGAAAUAAUGGAACUGAGACACAGCAAAAGACGUUGAGAAACAUCCUUCAAAGUCACAAAGGAAUUCAAGAAGGAGGAAGAUGAUUCAAAUCUGAAAUAUUUAUAGAAGGAUUCCUAGCAGACAGGGAAGGAUUUUAUUUAUUUAUUUUAGAGAGCAGAGAGCCCUACACAGGGCUAGAUCCCAGGACCCCAGGAUCAUGACCUGAGAUUAAGGCACGCGCUUAACCAACGGAGCCACCCAGGAGAUGCCCCCAUUUCUUUUUAUAAUCAUAUAAUUUUGGAUCUUUAUGUGUAAAAUUCAAAAGUUAUAUCGGUUUUUGAGAAGAAAUGGGAAAAAUGUUAAAUGCUCUUGUCAUUUCUGGAUUCUUUAUGAAACUACAUAUAUCAUCUUUGAAUUUCAAGUUUCUUAAGAUGGAGAGGACCUCUGGGGAACCGGACAAAGUGGCACCAGAGCACCUGCUAGCAUUAAUCAUGGGUCUCCAAUCAACGGUGUCCACCCUCUCAGGUGAACACUGCCCUAAAUUUUUGCCCUUUAAAACCCUCACUUGCAAGCCAUUGGGGAGUUCAGGACUUUAAAGGAUUAGCUCCCCAUUCUCCUGGGUAGUGCCACACCAAUAAAUAGCUUGUCUCUCUUCAUUGCAAAAGCUUGCUAUCCAUUUUUAUUGGCUUGCUGUGAAUCAGGUGGACAAACUCUCAUUUGGUGAAGCUACACUAAGAGAACCUGUCUUAAGAGUUCUCAUCACACACAAAAGAAUUGUAAGUCUGAGAGGUGAUAAAUGUUAAUUAUACAUACUGUAAUCAUUUUGCAAACAUAUACCUAUGUCAAAUCAUUAUGUUGCAUAAUACAAUGUUAUAUGUCAUUUAUAUCUCAAUAAAACUGGAAAAAAUAUCAUG
Molecule: long non-coding RNA, 1063 nt
Organism: Canis lupus familiaris (dog)
Lineage: Eukaryota; Metazoa; Chordata; Mammalia; Carnivora; Canidae
Exons: 4
Source: RefSeq, a predicted model, not a curated record